UUAACAGAUUAUUGUAUUCGACUGUAUUCACGGCAUGAAACAGGGGAUUACACUAUUUUUAAACGGAAAGUGAAUCAAUUAACAUAAUAUACUCCU
Molecule: microRNA precursor, 96 nt
Filed under: Nicotiana sylvestris (wood tobacco)
Lineage: Eukaryota; Viridiplantae; Streptophyta; Magnoliopsida; Solanales; Solanaceae
Description: MIR6152 microRNA precursor family
Rfam family: MIR6152 microRNA precursor family
Source: Rfam by way of RNAcentral